RNAcentral lists this ribosomal RNA (586 nucleotides) under uncultured bacterium. RNAcentral describes it as "bacterial SSU rRNA". It matches the Rfam family "Bacterial small subunit ribosomal RNA", at positions 788 to 1370 of the family's 1533-position model. The record is from RNAcentral.
UGGUAGUCCACGCGGUAAACGGUGAACACUAGGUGUGGGAGGUGUAAUACCUUCUGUGCCGAAGCUAACGCGUUAAGUGUUCCGCCUGGGAAGUACGGCCGCAAGGUUGAAACUCAAAGGAAUUGACGGGGGCCCGCACAAGCGGUGGAGCAUGUGGUUUAAUUCGACGCAACGCGAAAAACCUUACCUGGGCUUGACAUGCCGAGAAUCCCGUGGAAACAUGGGAGUGCCCCGUAAGGGGAACUUGGACACAGGUGCUGCAUGGCUGUCGCCAGCUCGUGCCGUGAGGUGUUGGGUUAAGUCCCGCAACGAGCGCAACCCUCAUCCUUAGUUGCCAUCAUUAAGUUGGGCACCCUAAGGAAACUGCCGCAGUUAAUGCGGAGGAAGGUGGGGAUGACGUCAAGUCCUCAUGGCCCUUAUACCCAGGGCUACACACGUGCUACAAUGGGCGGUACAAAGGGUCGCAAAACCGUGAGGUGGAGCUAAUCCCACAAAACCGCUCCUAGUUCGGAUUGGAGUCUGCAACCGGACUCCAUGAAGCUGGAAUCGCUAGUAAUACGAGGAUCAGCAUGCCGCGGUGAAUACU